GACUUUUUGUCCAUGGGACAGACUUGUGAAGGAGCUCAUGGAUGAGAGAAGAGUUCUUGUUGAGUUGUUGUUCAAACGCGAUUCGAUAAGCAUCAGCAGUAAGCCGCGCUUCUUCUUCAUUGUGGCGGGAAAUCUCUAACUGAAAAGCGGAAAAAGAUUGCAAAUGGUCACAAAAUGGGAUAAAAAGAAGGAAAGGAAAMGAAAGGCACAUGAAAGGGGAACAAAAAAAAUUGAAAAAAUCCCACUCCCGAAAAAAAUUCCAUCCAUUUUUUUUUUGUUUUGUUUUGUUUUGUUUUUUGAAUCCAAUGUAAUGUUGUGUCUUUACCUGUUUCGUAAUUCUCCCAAACUCUCUCUUGGCUUCCACAGCUGCCCUGGCGCAUGAGCAUGGUUCCUGGUUGUGACCACGACACUGACAGGCACCAAGUGUUGCAAGCUAAAGAACAAGACAUCAUGAGUACCUUGGAUAACAGGGUCCAUCCUCUGCAGGUGACGAUUCUCCUUUAAUUCUGUCCCUUACUUCAAGAGCAGCUACAAGUUCAUCUCUUUCUCGUACCAAGGCUGAAUAUAUAAGCAAUUAAGACUGAUUGACCCUGGUUACUCAAGGGCAAGCUUGCGAAGCUCAUCUGACCUGGUGUGGAGCGCGACAAGAAGAGCAGCAUUCUCUGACGCAACUCGGUCAAAUCUCUGAGCCCAUGUCUGCUCACUGUCCAUCAGUUGUUUGCUAGCAUCAACAGCCUUCUUCGUUAUCCUGCGAUGAUGUGCCUGCUCCAGACGAGAGUGCAUAUGUAAUGCUUUAACAGCGCCAUACUUCUCAAGAAGCUCCUUUUGACAGUGUUCCAGCUGAUUUCCCGUCUGGUGACCGUCGUGGGGUUUGAGGAAGUGGUGGCAAUCCACCUGGUUUGAAACCAAAACCAAGUCCAAGAUCAUCUGAUUCAAAAAACGCAUCGUCUUCUAUCCCAG
This is a long non-coding RNA of Exaiptasia diaphana, 960 nucleotides long. RefSeq lists it as uncharacterized. The record is from RefSeq and is a predicted model, not a curated record. NCBI's taxonomy places the organism in Eukaryota, Metazoa, Cnidaria, Anthozoa, Actiniaria, Aiptasiidae. The transcript is spliced from 5 exons.